Long non-coding RNA from Xiphophorus couchianus (Monterrey platyfish), 1010 nucleotides. RefSeq lists it as uncharacterized. The transcript is spliced from 5 exons. The record is from RefSeq and is a predicted model, not a curated record. Lineage: Eukaryota; Metazoa; Chordata; Actinopteri; Cyprinodontiformes; Poeciliidae.
UUGACGACGAACCGGAAGUGGUUCUAUGUCUCCACCAGCUGAAGCUAGAAAGCUAAAUGAACCUCAAACUACUUCAUUUGAUUAUUACCUAACGCGAAAUCCAUGGCUGCGAUGCGUUGUUAUCUGCAUUGUCCUCCAGGAUGGGUGUGUACACAUUGAACUGCAGCAGGAAGAACAGAUGAAGCAUGUUCUGAAAUGUUUUUUCAAGCACCUUGACAGAGGAUUUGCUGUAACUCAGGGCUGUUAAAAGAUGAAUCCUCCUCGUCCAUCCUCCAUCUGGUCUCCUGACAGCUCCAGGUGGAGCAGUGCCAUGUAGCAACAACAAACGGACACCCUGGUGUCCAGUGAGAAAUCCCCUCCUGUGAGCCCCACGGACCUGGAGCUCCACAAGAAAGACCGUUUCAUGUCACAGGUGGUGAAGGCUUGAAGGAGACCUGAAAAAGCUUUUGGGAAAACUAUUCUGUGAGAAAGCCAUUGAGACAAAGAACACCGUUCAGCUUCCCGUUAAACAAGGAAAGGAAAAAAAUGGAGACCAAAGUCGCCACAUUUCUGAUCGAUGUUCGGAAAAAGACGGCUGGAGUGUUUAGCUAAAUUAGCCCAUCAUCAUUAGAUGUGUUGCCAGGCAACUGGAGAGACGAGGCUAAUCAUCCUGACAUGUCGGGGUGAUGGAGAUGCCACAGAGGUGGAGGGAGAAAACAAGGAUGACCAACAGGCCGUUUUCUUCUGCCAGGUCAAACUGAAACUGAUCAGCAGAGAAGACGCGCGGUCACCUGCCUUCCAGGUCGUUUCAAACCUUUUCUGUUUUAAAAACCGGAGUCAAACUUGAUACAUUUACAGGAUGGAAAAACUGUUUUUUAUUUAUUUCCAUUUUGUUACCGGGAAUCAGUUUGCAUGAUUUGGAAAACAUUUGUUUGCACUUUGUUGAAAAUAAAGAAAUUAUUUGAAUUAAUUGAUUUUUUUCAAAAAGAAACUUGGCAUGUGUUUGAAAUGCUUAAAAAGCCAUUUCUUCA